AACUUCCUCGCAUGUGCCGGCCUAAGGGUGAGGCGUGUGUUCAGUUGGCAGGAGCCACCUACAUGGAAAUUCACCAGGCCGGAGGAGGGAUCCACUUCACCGUGGAGCGCACGCGCCAAGCCUCAGAGGAGGAGCUGUUCCGCUCCUUCCAGCAACGGCUCCAGUGCAUGAUGAGGGCUGGCACCACGCUGGUGGAGUGCAAGAGUGGAUAUGGCCUCGACCUGGAGACCGAGCUCAAGAUGCUGCGUGUGAUUGAGCGUGCCCGGCGGGAGCUGGACAUCAGCAUCUCGGCUACCUACUGCGGGGCUCAUUCAGUGCCUAAAGGAAAAACUGCUACUGAAGCUGCUGAUGACAUCAUCAAUAACCACCUCCCAAAGCUGAAGGAACUUGGCAGAAAUGGGGAAAUACACGUGGACAAUAUCGACGUAUUUUGUGAGAAAGGUGUCUUUGAUCUCGAUUCCACCAGAAGGAUUCUUCAACGUGGAAAAGAUAUAGGGUUACAGAUUAACUUCCAUGGGGAUGAACUCCACCUGAUGAA
Molecule: small RNA, 538 nt
Filed under: Pongo abelii (Sumatran orangutan)
Lineage: Eukaryota; Metazoa; Chordata; Mammalia; Primates; Hominidae
Description: retained intron
Source: RNAcentral